Molecule: ribosomal RNA, 282 nt
Filed under: uncultured prokaryote
Description: partial 16S ribosomal RNA
Rfam family: Bacterial small subunit ribosomal RNA
Source: RNAcentral
UACGUAGGGGGCGAGCGUUGUCCGGAAUGACUGGGCGUAAAGGGCGCGUAGGCGGUUCUUUAAGUUAGGAGUGAAAGUCCAGCUUUUAAAGUUGGAAUUGCUUUUAAUACUGGAGGGCUUGAGUGCAGAAGAGGUAAGUGGAAUUCCCAGUGUAGCGGUGAAAUGCGUAGAGAUUGGGAAGAACACCAGUGGCGAAGGCGACUUACUGGGCUGUAACUGACGCUGAGGCGCGAAAGCGUGGGGAGCGAACAGGAUUAGAUACCCGGGUAGUCCCUGAGCGGG